Molecule: ribosomal RNA, 490 nt
Filed under: uncultured soil bacterium
Lineage: Bacteria
Description: bacterial SSU rRNA
Rfam family: Bacterial small subunit ribosomal RNA
Source: RNAcentral
AGAAUCAACGCUGGCGGCGUGCCUCAGACAUGCAAGUCGAACGAUUAAAGCUCUCUUCGGAGAGUGUAUAGAGUGGCGCACGGGUGAGUAACACGUAAGUAAUCUACCUUCGAGUGGGGAAUAACAUCGGGAAACCGAUGCUAAUACCGCAUAAUGCAGCGGCAUCGCAAGAUGACAGUUGUUAAAGGAUUUAUUUCGCUUGAAGAGGAGCUUGCGGCAGAUUAGCUGUGUAGUACGGCUUACCAAGGCUACGAUCUGUAUCCGGUCUAAGAGGACGGUCGGACACACUGACACUGAAUAACGGGUCAGACUCCUACGGGAGGCAGCAGUCGGAAUUUUGGGCAAUGGGCGAAAGCCUGACCCAGCAACGCCGCGUGAAGGAUGAAGUAUUUCGGUAUGUAAACUUCGAAAAGAAUAAGGAAAGAAUAAAUGAACGGUAACUAAUUUAAUAAGUCUCCGGACUAACGUACGUGCCAGCACGCCGACGUAA